RNAcentral lists this transfer RNA (75 nucleotides) under Pseudomonadota bacterium. RNAcentral's name for it is "tRNA-Val". It matches the Rfam family "tRNA". Rfam says of the family: Transfer RNA (tRNA) molecules are approximately 80 nucleotides in length. Their secondary structure includes four short double-helical elements and three loops (D, anti-codon, and T loops). Further hydrogen bonds mediate the characteristic L-shaped molecular structure. tRNAs have two regions of fundamental functional importance: the anti-codon, which is responsible for specific mRNA codon recognition, and the 3' end, to which the tRNAs corresponding amino acid is attached (by aminoacyl-tRNA synthetases). tRNAs cope with the degeneracy of the genetic code in two manners: having more than one tRNA (with a specific anti-codon) for a particular amino acid; and 'wobble' base-pairing, i.e. permitting non-standard base-pairing at the 3rd anti-codon position. Lineage: Bacteria; Pseudomonadati; Pseudomonadota. RNAcentral also lists the same sequence under 2 other names. The record is from RNAcentral.
GGGCGCGUAACUCAGCGGUAGAGUAUUACCUUCACACGGUAGGAGUCACAGGUUCGAAUCCUGUCGCGCCCACCA